GGGGAUGUAUCUUAGUGGUAGAGUGCUUGCCUGGCAUGCAUGAGGCCCUAGGUUCAAUUCCCACUGCUA
RNAcentral lists this transfer RNA (69 nucleotides) under Neotoma lepida (desert woodrat). It matches the Rfam family "tRNA". From Rfam's summary of the family: Transfer RNA (tRNA) molecules are approximately 80 nucleotides in length. Lineage: Eukaryota; Metazoa; Chordata; Mammalia; Rodentia; Cricetidae. The record is from Rfam by way of RNAcentral.